Molecule: ribosomal RNA, 636 nt
Filed under: uncultured fungus
Lineage: Eukaryota; Fungi
Description: eukaryotic LSU rRNA
Rfam family: 5.8S ribosomal RNA (bases 230-383)
Source: RNAcentral
AUUUAGAGGAAGUAAAAGUCGUAACAAGGUUUCCGUAGGUGAACCUGCGGAAGGAUCAUUAACGAAAUCGGACUUCGGUCUGGUGACGUCUCUCUUGCUGUGCGCCUUUUGGCUGCACGCUUGGGAAUCCACACACCUGUGCACACUCGGUUGGCGGGCUUCGGCCCGCCUCUCGCCUACACUUACUUUGUAUGUCUCGAAUGUCUAUUAUCUUAUGAUAAAAAAAUACAACUUUCAGCAACGGAUCUCUUGGCUCUCGCAUCGAUGAAGAACGCAGCGAAAUGCGAUACGUAAUGUGAAUUGCAGAAUUCAGUGAAUCAUCGAAUCUUUGAACGCACCUUGCACCCCGUGGUUCUCCACGGGGUACGCCCGUUCGAGUGUCACGUAAACCAUCGCCUAAGCAAAGCUAGCUUUGCUCUGGCGGAUCUGGACGCCUGCCGUCGCUGGCUCGUCCGAAAUGCAUUAGCGAGGGUGGUCUCUCUAAACCGCUUGGCGUGAUAUUUCCUUCUCGCCUGUUGGUUCGGUCUAGGAGACGGCUCUGCUCCGAAUCCCGUCGCGUCGACGGAACAUUACAAAGUUUGACCUCGAAUCGGGUGGGACUACCCGCUGAACUUAAGCAUAUCAAUAAGCGGAGGA